Anas platyrhynchos (mallard) is the source of this 1546-nucleotide long non-coding RNA. RefSeq lists it as uncharacterized. Lineage: Eukaryota; Metazoa; Chordata; Aves; Anseriformes; Anatidae. The record is from RefSeq and is a predicted model, not a curated record.
GCGGGCGGGCGGUGGGCUGCCGGCGGCCAUCUUGUGGCAGGCGCCGCCGCGGCGAGGGCGCGGGGUCGGGCCGGAGGUGCGGCUGAGGGGCUGCUCCGGGGCUCGCACCCGCCUCCACGGCCUUCGCUACGGUGUGGCCCUGACCGGGAACCGGGCGCCUCGAGGCGCCUGUGCCCGCCUCAGAGGCAGAAAGGUUUUAUUUCUCACUGGAGUCUCCCAGAGUCCAUUCUUGGAGGUAGCCUUAUGAGGAGUAAUCUUACUUCAAAGCUCAGCCAUCAAGAUUUGGAAAAACUGAUGAGAAAAAGACUGUGUGGGGAACUCACGGAAUGCUGAGAAACAAGGAUACAUCAAACUUUACAAGGGAUUAUGAAAUCUGAGCUUGUUCUUCACAAGUGUGUCCAAACAGAUCUACCCUGAUCUAAGGUACAUGAUGGAUUUUAACACCAACAAUCCUUUGCUGCAUGGAGUUAAGCUGUUUUAACUCCUGAAAUCAGCUUGGCUUCAAACAGAGCCAGCACGAUUGUUUACAAAAUAAGCAGUUUGAGCUUUUCAACUCUCUUUUUAUUUGAAUACUACAAGCUGAUUUUUUCAAGGCAGCUGUCUCUCUUGCUCUUCUACCUUAUUGUUUUUAUUCUGUGGUUUAAAAUGCAACACUUGACAUUUCCUUACCUAAGGACUUGAAAACCUCUGGGCUAGCAUACUUGCCAUCAAAGUAGACUGUGUUGUUCUGGGAGUCAAAGGCACGGCACAUUCUGAUGAACACAACCUCUAAAGACCCUAAAACAGAAACAAUGUAUGUUUGACUAUUUAAGUAGAGACUUCAGUUGCAAGUGAGGAUUCAAAAACUUCAAAAUGUUCUGCCUUCAGUAUAGAUUGAGUAGAGUAGUAGGUUUCUGUAGUGCAACAAAGAAUAGUUCGAUUUGAUAGUACAAUUAACAUAAUUCCCAUAAACCCCUUUAGAACUUUUUGUAAAAGCAACUUAGUUAAUCCUAAUAAAUAUUUUUCAUUAGAAUAAUGAAGUCUCUGAAGUCAAAGCAGUUCAUUUAGAUUAUGCUCAUGAAGCUUUAACAGCUUUGUCCAAGUAAUCUGCAUUACUUCUACAACAUCUUGUGUAGAACAAUCUGGAUUUUUACCUACAAAUAUGUUAUUCACUGUUAGUACGCCAAAUCAAAAAAAUUAAUCCAACUUCUUCAUCCUUACACACUUAUUGCUCCCUUUGUUCAUAAUGAAAAUUUCAUACAUAGACUGGAACUCAUCAUAGAAUGGUUUGAGUUGGAAGGGACCUUAAACAUCAUCUAGUUCCAACCCCCCUGCAUUGGCAGCAUACAUCUUCCACUAAAUGGAACUCAUUCCAUCCAGAGUAACCAAGAAAACAUAGUAUUUCAAACAGAAGACACACAGAAUUUGUACGUUUGUUCUUGUAGUAUUUUAAAUUAUCAUUGUACAACAUAUGUAUAUAUGUAUACAUAAUAACUGUAUACAGCUAGCACUUUCCUCAGUCAAAACUAAUAGAAGCAGACCUUAAAAUUGACCCACAUACCUGCUU